AUACGAAGGUGGCAAGCGUUGUUCGGAUUUACUGGGCGUAAAGAGCAUGUAGGCGGUUAGAUUAGUCAGUUGUGAAAUCCUAUGGCUUAACCAUAGAAUUGCAUCUGAUACUGUCUAGCUAGAGUGCAGGAGAGGAGAGUGGAAUUUCCAGUGUAGCGGUGAAAUGCGUAGAUAUUGGAAGGAACACCGGUGGCGAAGGCGGCUCUCUGGUCUGUAACUGACGCUGAGAUGCGAAAGCGUGGGUAGCAAACAGAAUUAGAAACCCCUGUAGUCC
Molecule: ribosomal RNA, 274 nt
Filed under: uncultured bacterium
Lineage: Bacteria
Description: partial 16S ribosomal RNA
Rfam family: Bacterial small subunit ribosomal RNA
Source: RNAcentral